UCCGAGUUGACCCCGGCAGUCUCCUACGAGUCCCCGGCAUUACCCGCUGGCAACAUAGGACAAGGGUUGCGCUCGUUGCGGGACUUAACCCAACAUCUCACGACACGAGCUGACGGCAGCCAUGCACCACCAGUGCGGGACCCCGAAGGACACCGUAUCUCUACGGCUUUUCUCUACAUGUCAAGCCCAGGUAAGGUUCUUCGCGUCGCAUCGAAUUAAGCCACAUGCUCCGCCGCUUGUGCGGGCCCCCGUCAAUUCCUUUGAGUUUUAGCCUUGCGACCGUACUCCCCAGGCGGGAAGCUUAAUGCGUUAGCUGCGCCACCGACAAGUAAACUUGCCAACGGCUAGCUUCCAUCGUUUACGGCGUGGACUAC
Molecule: unclassified non-coding RNA, 374 nt
Filed under: uncultured Acidimicrobiia bacterium
Lineage: Bacteria; Bacillati; Actinomycetota; Acidimicrobiia
Description: contains 16S-23S intergenic spacer region
Source: RNAcentral